This 87-nucleotide transfer RNA is filed under the name Paraburkholderia caffeinitolerans. Its description in RNAcentral is "tRNA-Gly". The record is from RNAcentral. Lineage: Bacteria; Pseudomonadati; Pseudomonadota; Betaproteobacteria; Burkholderiales; Burkholderiaceae.
GCGUCGUGCUGGUGGUCGCGCAUCUCGUGCUGAGCUUCCGGCUCAACGAUGCCUCGGACGCGGUGUUCCAGGCGCUGCACGGCGUAC